Salvia hispanica is the source of this 831-nucleotide non-coding RNA. NCBI's taxonomy places the organism in Eukaryota, Viridiplantae, Streptophyta, Magnoliopsida, Lamiales, Lamiaceae. The record is from RefSeq and is a predicted model, not a curated record.
CUGAUGAGGUGCGUGUCAUCGGCGGCGCAGGCAGCCAAAACGACGACGGCGUCAAAGGUGUCGGAUUGUGCUCAAAUUCGGUCGGGAGUUGCGGAACGUGCCUACUACCGAUACUCAUGGCAAUGCCAUGACCGGCGAUGUAUUUUGGGCAUCCGAGGUCGUCCGAGGGGCGAAAAUGCCAGGUACUGAUGAGGUGCAUGUCAUCGGCGGCGCAGGCAGCCAAAACGACGACGGCGUCAAAGGUGUCGGAUUGUGCUCAAAUUCGGUCGGGAGUUGCGGAACGUGCCUACGACCGAUAAUCAUUGCUAUGCCAUGACCGGUGAUGUAUUUUGGGCAUCCGAGGUCGUCUGAGGGGCGAAAAUGCCAGGUACUGAUGAGGUGCGUGUCAUCGGCGGCGCAGGCAGCCAAAACGACGACGGCGUCAAAGGUGUCGGAUUGUGCUCAAAUUCGGUCGGGAGUUGCGGAACGUGCCUACUACCGAUACUCAUGGCAAUGCCAUGACCGGCGAUGUAUUUUGGGCAUCCGAGGUCGUCCGAGGGGCGAAAAUGCCAGGUACUGAUGAGGUGCAUGUCAUCGGCGGCGCAGGCAGCCAAAACGACGACGGCGUCAAAGGUGUCGGAUUGUGCUCAAAUUCGGUCGGGAGUUGCGGAACGUGCCUACGACCGAUAAUCAUUGCUAUGCCAUGACCGGUGAUGUAUUUUGGGCAUCCGAGGUCGUCUGAGGGGCGAAAAUGCCAGGUACUGAUGAGGUGCGUGUCAUCGGCGGCGCAGGCAGCCAAAACGACGACGGCGUCAAAGGUGUCGGAUUGUGCUCAAAUUCGGUCGGGAGUUG